Molecule: long non-coding RNA, 912 nt
Organism: Prosopis cineraria
Lineage: Eukaryota; Viridiplantae; Streptophyta; Magnoliopsida; Fabales; Fabaceae
Exons: 4
Source: RefSeq, a predicted model, not a curated record
CAGAGCAUUCUCGUCUCUUCUUCACCGACUUUAGAUUACUCCUUUCUUGUCACCAUCGAACCCUUCCUCCUCACCUCCGGCUUGUUCUUCUCUUCACCAUCGGUGUGACUCUUGUUUCACUAUUUCAUUUUUGCUGUUCGCCCGUUUGCUGUCUGCUGAGUUUCUACUCUGAUUUUCGUUGUUUUGUGGCUGAAAGAGUUCUCAGUCUUUUUCUUCCUCGCGGCGCAACUGGUCGGAGCUCUUCUCUUCUCUUUCCCGUCUUCAGUUCCAGUCACGUGCUGGCUCAAGGGUGGCUACUGCAGCUUUGUGGGAGAGGUGCAUGCGUGUUCAUAUCUUUUCUUUUCUUCUCUUCAUCAGCUGGACGUCCGUGUGUGCGUACAGAUAAGUAGUUUUAGAUCUUCUAGCUUCGCUGUCGUCCUACUCUGCUCUUCCCUUGUUUAGUGUUGGCGUGGGUCUGUGUGUCGUCUCAAACCUCUCUUUCUCCUCAGUUCUGGCCGUUGCACAUGCGUAUGGGUAUUUGAAGGAGGAGAAAUUUAACUGAUAUGAAAAGGAGAAUCCUUGAAUUAUGGAAAUUUCAGAUUCAUUAGCUAAUGCUGGUUCUACUGUUGACAUCUGAAGGGCAUGCCACUGUUCUAGGACCUAGCUCAUCGGAUUUGAGUCGAGAAAAACAUACAGAGGCUUAGGAUUGUGGAAUAAUCCUUUAUAUGCCUCUCUUUUAUUAUUUUCAUGUGUAUUUGUUAAUGUAAUUGCCAACUAGGAUUAUUUAACAUGAUUCAUGUACUACUUGCAUGAUUUUGUGUAUAACUAGUGUAUUUUGUACCCUGCGUUAGUGAGUUUUGGUUGUGAACUCAUGGAUAGGGUCAAAAUACUUGUGCAAGUAGAAAUAUAUGUAUUUUGAGAAAUUUGAAAUAA